Molecule: long non-coding RNA, 370 nt
Organism: Phragmites australis (common reed)
Lineage: Eukaryota; Viridiplantae; Streptophyta; Magnoliopsida; Poales; Poaceae
Exons: 3
Source: RefSeq, a predicted model, not a curated record
GAUGAUACCAUAACAAAAAAAAGUAUGUUCUGGCAUGCUUAAGGGUAGUGUGUGUCAAUAGCACUAUAGGCUGAAAAGGAAAUGUUUCAAUGUUGUUCCGGAAAAUGAAGUGCUCUCAAGGAAACCACCAGGUUUUACUGAUGAAGAUUGGGCAAAGCUUGUGCGGAAGUGGACUGAUCCAAAACAUAAGGAAACAUCUAAAAAGAAUAAAUAGAAUCGAGAAAAAGUCAGGCUUCACCAAACCACAGGUUCUCGAAGCUAUGUAGCCCAAACAUUUUCCUUGAAGGAGCAUGAUAAUGGGGAAGAAACCAAUUUGAUUGAUCUUUUCAAGGCAACCCACUACAGUAAGAAAAAGGGUUAUAUUGAUGCU